Molecule: ribosomal RNA, 497 nt
Filed under: uncultured bacterium
Lineage: Bacteria
Description: partial 16S ribosomal RNA
Rfam family: Bacterial small subunit ribosomal RNA
Source: RNAcentral
GAUGAACGCUGGCGGCGUGCCUAAUACAUGCAAGUCGAGCGAACAGACGAGGAGCUUGCUCCUCUGACGUUAGCGGCGGACGGGUGAGUAACACGUGGAUAACCUACCUAUAAGACUGGGAUAACUUCGGGAAACCGGAGCUAAUACCGGAUAAUAUAUUGAACCGCAUGGUUCAAUAGUGAAAGACGGUUUUGCUGUCACUUAUAGAUGGAUCCGCGCCGCAUUGGCUAGUUGGUAAGGUAAAGGCUUACCAAGGCAACGAUGCGUAGCCGACCUGAGAGAGUGAUCGGCCACACUGGAACGGAGACACGGUCCAGAGUCCUACGGGAGGCAGCAGUAGGGAAUCGUCCGCAAUGGGCGAAAGCUUGACGGAGCAACGCGGCGUGAGUGAUGAAGGUCUUCGGAUCGUAAAACUCUGUUAUUAGGGAAGAACAAAUGUGUAAGUAACUAUACACGUCUUGACGGUACCUAAUCAGAAAGCCACGGCUAACUACGUG